GCUGAAAACCUAGCCCCACCCCAUCUAAUGAACCCCUUAAACAUUAUACAAUAAACCAAAACAUUUUAUUGAUUUAGUAAAGGAGAUUAAAAAACCUAUAGGAGCAAUAAACGCAGUACCGCAAGGGAAAGGUGAAAUAAAAAUGAAAUAAAUUUUAAGCAAAAAACAGUAGAGAUUAUCCCCCGUACCUUUUGCAUCAUGGUUUAACAAGUCUAAUCAAGCACAACGUCUUACAGUUUGACUUCCCGAAACUAAGUGAGCUACUUCAAGGCAGCUUAUUGAGCAAACCCGUCUCUGUUGCAAAAGAGUGGGAAGACCUUCAAGUAGGGGUGACAGACCUAACGAACUUAGUGAUAGCUGGUUAUUCAAGAAAAGGAUUUUAGUCCCGCCCAAAGCUUACUUAAUACAAAAAAAUAUCAUUUUUAGCUUUAGAGUAAUUCAAAUAAGGUACAGCCUAUUUGAAAAAGGAUACAACCUAGACUAAUGGGUAAGUUUUGAACUUCAUAGUUAAGUGGGCCUAAAAGCAGCCACCUUUAAAAUAGCGUCAAAGCUUUUCUAUUAAAACUAUAUAAUACCUCAAAAUAUCACAAACCCUUAACUUAUAUUGAAUAAUUCUAUAUCUUUAUAGAACCUACAAUGUUAAAACUAGUAACAAGAAGAAGACCUUCUCUUAAAUGUAAGUGUAAGUCAGGUAGGACUCACCACUGACAAUUAACACCCAUGAAUUUAUUCUAGUAACCCUACAAGAAAACCCUAGUAAAUUUUAUGUUAACCUAACACAAGAGCAUUUCAAGAAAGAUUAAAAGAAAAAGAAGGAACUCGGCAAAUAUUAACCUCGCCUGUUUACCAAAAACAUCGCCUCUUGACUAACUAUAAGAGGUCCAGCCUGCCCAGUGACUCUGUUCAACGGCCGCGGUAUCCUAACCGUGCGAAGGUAGCGUAAUCACUUGUUCUUUAAAUGAGGACUAGUAUGAAUGGCACCACGAGGGUUAUACUGUCUCCUUUCUCUAAUCAGUGAAACUAAUCUCCCCGUGAAGAAGCGGGGAUAAAAAUAUAAGACGAGAAGACCCUAUGGAGCUUUAAACUCAAUAACAAAUACUAUUAAUAAUAACACUUUCAGAACACAAACCUAUAUCUUAGUAUAAUGAUUAUUAGUUUUAGGUUGGGGUGACCGCGGAGUAAAAUCUAACCUCCACAUUGAACGGGACCUAUCCCUGAGCAAAAAGCUACAACUUUAAGCACCAACAAAUUGACAUCAAUUGACCCAAUAUUUUGAUCAACGAACCAAGUUACCCUAGGGAUAACAGCGCAAUCCACUUCAAGAGCCCCUAUCGACAAGUGGGUUUACGACCUCGAUGUUGGAUCAGGGUAUCCCAGUGGUGCAGCCGCUACUAAAGGUUCGUUUGUUCAACGAUUAAAACCCU
RNAcentral lists this ribosomal RNA (1424 nucleotides) under Corythomantis greeningi (Greening's frog). Its description in RNAcentral is "partial 16S ribosomal RNA". It matches the Rfam family "Bacterial large subunit ribosomal RNA", at positions 133 to 2597 of the family's 2925-position model. Lineage: Eukaryota; Metazoa; Chordata; Amphibia; Anura; Hylidae. The record is from RNAcentral.